Molecule: transfer RNA, 77 nt
Filed under: Dethiosulfatibacter aminovorans DSM 17477
Lineage: Bacteria; Bacillati; Bacillota; Tissierellia
Description: tRNA_Arg_ACG
Rfam family: tRNA
About the family: Transfer RNA (tRNA) molecules are approximately 80 nucleotides in length.
Source: RNAcentral
GCACCCUUAGCUCAGUUGGAUAGAGUGUCUGACUACGAAUCAGAAGGUCGCGAGUUCGAAUCUUGCAGGGUGCACCA